GAUGAACGCUGGCGGCGUGCUUAACACAUGCAAGUCGAACGAUGAAGCCCAGCUUGCUGGGUGGAUUAGUGGCGAACGGGUGAGUAACACGUGAGUAACCUGCCCUUGACUCUGGGAUAAGCCUGGGAAACUGGGUCUAAUACUGGAUAUGACUUCUCAUCGCAUGGUGGGGGGUGGAAAGAUUUAUUGGUCUUGGAUGGACUCGCGGCCUAUCAGCUUGUUGGUGAGGUAAUGGCUCACCAAGGCGACGACGGGUAGCCGGCCUGAGAGGGUGACCGGCCACACUGGGACUGAGACACGGCCCAGACUCCGACGGGAGGCAGCAGUGGGGAAUAUUGCACAAUGGGCGCAAGCCUGAUGCAGCGACGCCGCGUGAGGGAUGACGGCCUUCGGGUUGUAAACCUCUUUCAGUAGGGAAGAAGCGAGAGUGACGGUACCUGCAGAAGAAGCGCCGGCUAACUACGUG
Molecule: ribosomal RNA, 466 nt
Filed under: uncultured bacterium
Lineage: Bacteria
Description: partial 16S ribosomal RNA
Rfam family: Bacterial small subunit ribosomal RNA
Source: RNAcentral